Molecule: ribosomal RNA, 725 nt
Filed under: uncultured bacterium
Lineage: Bacteria
Description: bacterial SSU rRNA
Rfam family: Bacterial small subunit ribosomal RNA
Source: RNAcentral
CGGCUUAACUGUGAGCGUGCGGGCGAUACGGGCAGACUUGAGUACUGCAGGGGAGACUGGAAUUCCUGGUGUAGCGGUGGAAUGCGCAGAUAUCAGGAGGAACACCGGUGGCGAAGGCGGGUCUCUGGGCAGUAACUGACGCUGAGGAGCGAAAGCGUGGGGAGCGAACAGGAUUAGAUACCCUGGUAGUCCACGCCGUAAACGGUGGGUACUAGGUGUGGGUUUCCUUCCUUGGGAUCCGUGCCGUAGCUAACGCAUUAAGUACCCCGCCUGGGGAGUACGGCCGCAAGGCUAAAACUCAAAGAAAUUGACGGGGGCCCGCACAAGCGGCGGAGCAUGUGGAUUAAUUCGAUGCAACGCGAAGAACCUUACCUGGGUUUGACAUGCACAGGACGCCGGCAGAGAUGUCGGUUCCCUUGUGGCCUGUGUGCAGGUGGUGCAUGGCUGUCGUCAGCUCGUGUCGUGAGAUGUUGGGUUAAGUCCCGCAACGAGCGCAACCCUUGUCUCAUGUUGCCAGCGGGUAAUGCCGGGGACUCGUGAGAGACUGCCGGGGUCAACUCGGAGGAAGGUGGGGAUGACGUCAAGUCAUCAUGCCCCUUAUGUCCAGGGCUUCACACAUGCUACAAUGGCCGGUACAAAGGGCUGCGAUGCCGCGAGGUUAAGCGAAUCCUUUUAAAGCCGGUCUCAGUUCGGAUCGGGGUCUGCAACUCGACCCCGUGAAGUCG